AUGGGAUUUAAAACUAAAAGAAAAAUAGCGAAUAAAAAAAUUGCAGACGAAAGGGAAUCGCAAAAGAAAAUUGCAAGAGUUGCAGAAACUAGAGACCUCAUCGAUUGCGAGAAUGCGGUUUGUGAAAGUGCAGAAGAAUACAAUACCUCUACCGAGGACUAUACUUUUGUUGGCACAGAAUCGUUUGAGAACAUGCAUUCACUAUGUGAAACUGCAGAAGAAAGGUCAUUUGAGAACCAGCGUUCACUAUGUGAAACUGCAGAAGAAAGUUGGGAAUCCAAUAUUACUACUGACUCAGG
This is a long non-coding RNA of Topomyia yanbarensis, 299 nucleotides long. RefSeq lists it as uncharacterized. The transcript has 3 exons. Lineage: Eukaryota; Metazoa; Arthropoda; Insecta; Diptera; Culicidae. The record is from RefSeq and is a predicted model, not a curated record.